This 764-nucleotide long non-coding RNA is filed under the name Monodelphis domestica (gray short-tailed opossum). RNAcentral's name for it is "lncRNA (ENSMODG00000034793.2)". The record is from RNAcentral. Lineage: Eukaryota; Metazoa; Chordata; Mammalia; Didelphimorphia; Didelphidae.
UAGAAGAUACAAUAACUUCAUAGACUAGAAGAGUUUUCUCUUGAGUAAUAAAGGGCAAUAAAGUACCAACCUGGCAAACAUUUGAGUCUCUCUCAAGUUUUAGAUGACACUAGAGAGAAAGGCAGGCUUCAACUGAUUCAGGUCUUAAUCCUUUGUUGAGGAUUCUCUUGUCCUCCAAAAAGGUCUUUUGAAUAGCACAGAUUUUCUACAAUUAGAUCAGUUUCCCUCAUAUGAUCUUUAAGGUUUAGCAGAAGUUAGAGGCAGUGACUACUAGUUUCUGUCAGUCUCCAAACUGUGUCAGCUUCUCAUCUCCAUAGACUUCUAUGUUAAGUGUUCUGUGUUCUGACUUCUGUUGUCCAGGCUUCUAAUUUUUUUUCCUCCUGUUGGCUACUCUGAUCCCUCUCCUGCAUUUGAUUUCUUCAAUCAUUGACUCCUAAUCUCCUGACUUCUCUUUCUUGAGAUUAUGUGUGGCAACUCAUCUCAUCAGUAAAAACAAACAUGAAGACCUAAAAAAGGAACCAAUCUGAAAACAAGUUGUGACAAUAUGUGUUACAGGGCUCAGACUGUGUCAUCCAGAUUAUAUGUAAAUUGGCAUUUCAAUGUCUUCAGACCCCUUUGCCCAGCUACAGGGAAAUCAGUCCAAACACACCCCAAUACAAAGUUACAUAUUAUAUCUCUGAAAAAAAUGUUGUCAUUACUGUAUCUAAAAUUAUGAAUUUACACAAUGAUAAAGACUUUACUGAAUGACCAGAGUCCAUUUGAUC